CAGGGGAGACUGGAAUUCCUGGUGUAGCGGUGGAAUGCGCAGAUAUCAGGAGGAACACCGGUGGCGAAGGCGGGUCUCUGGGCAGUAACUGACGCUGAGGAGCGAAAGCGUGGGGAGCGAACAGGAUUAGAUACCCUGGUAGUCCACGCCGUAAACGGUGGGUACUAGGUGUGGGUUUCCUUCCUUGGGAUCCGUGCCGUAGCUAACGCAUUAAGUACCCCGCCUGGGGAGUACGGCCGCAAGGCUAAAACUCAAAGAAAUUGACGGGGGCCCGCACAAGCGGCGGAGCAUGUGGAUUAAUUCGAUGCAACGCGAAGAACCUUACCUGGGUUUGACAUGCACAGGACGUCGGCAGAGAUGUCGGUUCCCUUGUGGCCUGUGUGCAGGUGGUGCAUGGCUGUCGUCAGCUCGUGUCGUGAGAUGUUGGGUUAAGUCCCGCAACGAGCGCAACCCUUGUCUCAUGUUGCCAGCGGGUAAUGCCGGGGACUCGUGAGAGACUGCCGGGGUCAACUCGGAGGAAGGUGGGGAUGACGUCAAGUCAUCAUGCCCCUUAUGUCCAGGGCUUCACACAUGCUACAAUGGCCGGUACAAAGGGCUGCGAUGCCGCGAGGUUAAGCGAAUCCUUUUAAAGCCGGUCUCAGUUCGGAUCGGGGUCUGCAACUCGACCCCGUGAAGUCGGA
Molecule: ribosomal RNA, 680 nt
Filed under: uncultured bacterium
Lineage: Bacteria
Description: bacterial SSU rRNA
Rfam family: Bacterial small subunit ribosomal RNA
Source: RNAcentral